UCCCCGGUGGUCUAGUGGCUAGGAUUUGGCACUCUCACUGAUGUGGCCCGGGUUCAAUCCCUGGUCUGGGAU
RNAcentral lists this transfer RNA (72 nucleotides) under Sus scrofa (pig). It matches the Rfam family "tRNA". From Rfam's summary of the family: Transfer RNA (tRNA) molecules are approximately 80 nucleotides in length. Their secondary structure includes four short double-helical elements and three loops (D, anti-codon, and T loops). Further hydrogen bonds mediate the characteristic L-shaped molecular structure. tRNAs have two regions of fundamental functional importance: the anti-codon, which is responsible for specific mRNA codon recognition, and the 3' end, to which the tRNAs corresponding amino acid is attached (by aminoacyl-tRNA synthetases). tRNAs cope with the degeneracy of the genetic code in two manners: having more than one tRNA (with a specific anti-codon) for a particular amino acid; and 'wobble' base-pairing, i.e. permitting non-standard base-pairing at the 3rd anti-codon position. Lineage: Eukaryota; Metazoa; Chordata; Mammalia; Artiodactyla; Suidae. The record is from Rfam by way of RNAcentral.